This 401-nucleotide ribosomal RNA is filed under the name Bathyedithia retierei. Its description in RNAcentral is "partial 16S ribosomal RNA". It matches the Rfam family "Bacterial large subunit ribosomal RNA", at positions 1959 to 2597 of the family's 2925-position model. Lineage: Eukaryota; Metazoa; Annelida; Polychaeta; Phyllodocida; Polynoidae. The record is from RNAcentral.
GCAUAAUCAUUUGCCCCUUAAUUCGGGGCCUGUAUGAAAGGACGAACGAAACUCCAACUUUAUUGAUCCUACUUCCUAAAACCUAAAUUCCAGGUGAAAAUGCCUGGAUAAACUUGAAAGACAAGAAGACCCUGUAGAGUUUUAGUAGCUCCCUUCUCCUUAACAAACUCUUACUUUAAUUGGGGCGAUUAAGGAUUUCAUUUAACAUCCUAAAAUAAUAUUGACCCAAAGUCCGAUAAAGAUCCUAACUCUAGAACCUAAACCAAACUACCUCAGGGAUAACAGGCUUAUCUUCCUAACGAGUUCAAAUUAACAGGAAGGUUUGGCACCUCGAUGUUGGCUUAGAGAAACCUAGCAAAGCAAAAAUUGCUCUGGUUAGUUUGUUCAACUAUUAAACCUCU